CAGCCGCCGCGGGAAUACGAAGGGGGCUAGCGUUGCUCGGAAUGACUGGGCGUAAAGGGCGCGUAGGCGGUUUGGACAGUUGGGUGUGAAAUCCCCGGGCUUAACCCUGGGACUGCGCUCGAUACAUCCAGGCUUGAGUGAGGAAGAGGGUCGUGGAAUUCCCAGUGUAGAGGUGAAAUUCAUAGAUAUUGGGAAGAACACCGGUGGCGAAGGCGGCGACCUGGUCCUUUACUGACGCUGAGGCGCGAAAGCGUGGGAAGCAAACAGGAUUAGAUACCCCGGUAGUCCCUGUCUCUUAUAC
RNAcentral lists this ribosomal RNA (301 nucleotides) under uncultured bacterium. Its description in RNAcentral is "partial 16S ribosomal RNA". It matches the Rfam family "Bacterial small subunit ribosomal RNA", at positions 509 to 807 of the family's 1533-position model. The record is from RNAcentral.